CCAGACUCCUACGGGAGGCAGCAGUGGGGGAUAUUGCACAAUGGGGGGAACCCUGAUGCAGCGACGCCGCGUGGGUGAAGGAGUGCUUCGGCAUGUAAAGCCCUAUCGGCAGGGAAGAAGCAAGACGGUACCUGACUAAGAAGCCCCGGCUAACUACGUGCCAGCAGCCGCGGUAAUACGUAGGGGGCGAGCGUUAUCCGGAUUCACUGGGUGUAAAGGGAGCGUAGACGGCAGCGCAAGUCUGGAGUGAAAUGCCGGGGCCCAACCCCGGAACUGCUUUGGAAACUGUGCAGCUAGAGUGCGGGAGAGGUAAGCGGAAUUCCUAGUGUAGCGGUGAAAUGCGUAGAUAUUAGGAGGAACACCAGUGGCGAAGGCGGCUUACUGGACCGUAACUGACGUUGAGGCUCGAAAGCGUGGGGGGCAAACAGGAUUAGAUACCCGAGUAA
This 446-nucleotide ribosomal RNA is filed under the name uncultured bacterium. RNAcentral's name for it is "bacterial SSU rRNA". It matches the Rfam family "Bacterial small subunit ribosomal RNA", at positions 331 to 793 of the family's 1533-position model. The record is from RNAcentral.